GCUUAAACACAAUAACAGCUGUUCGAAACAUCCUUUUGUUAAGUGUGCUGGGCACCUGAUCAAAAAAUGAGCACUCAAAUUAGACGAGGAGAACCCAGCCCACAAUCUGGGGGAAAUUCUAAGGCAGCAGCUGAAGGAUCGGCAACUGAAAGAGAGAGAAGCCUGGAGGCAAAACGUGCUCCAGUGCUACAUGAAGAACCAGUAUCGGUAAGGACACCAUUUUCCAAACAUGUAAAAUGCCUGAAAGACUUCAUGAAGGAUCCAAAAAGGGAAGAACCUCUCGUAGGUUUGGAAUAUAUACUUGAAAUCCGAUCUAAAGGGAAAAAACUCCCUUUUUAUGAAUGCGAGCUAUGCCAGUUUAAUAUGGAGUUGGUGCCGAUGAUAGAACAUGUCACUGGCCAAAAACACAGAAAAAAAUAUCUUAUGAAACAUUAUCCAGAGAAGGUAAAGAGGAACCCAAAUGAAAGUAAAGAAGAAAAAUUUUGGUUUUUUAAACGGAUAGCCAAAGAGGUAGAGAAGAUUGAAGGUUUAAAAAUGUAUAAGCGUGAAAUUCGUGAGAAACCCAACGUGCCAAGUAAGUAAUAAUUUUGUGUUUUUAGUAUAAUGAAUUGAAAACAGGUGAAGUUUCUAAAUUCUGUUUAAACACACAUAUAACUGUGUAACAGUGAUCAGGAAAUAUGAAAAUGUUCUUGAAAUCCCUGAGGGCAUGGAUGAGCAGACUUUAGGAAGGAUAGACUUUGCUCUUUAUUGGAAUCCUGUGAUCCAGCAAUCCAGCAUCAGAUGUCCAUGAACUCAUCUUGAGUAGCAGAAAUGUAAAGUUGAUGACAGUCCUUACACACAAAUCAAUUAUGUUCAUUCUAAUUUCCCUUCAUUUCUGGAAUACAGUUUAGUAGAAGUUUAGGGUUAGUUUGUUAUGGUUUUUAUUGAACGACUGGGAGUUGGCAGUCCUUGCUACUCUUGCUAUGUAUGAAUUGGAAAAACCAUCAUAGGAUGCACUGCUCAUAUAUUCAGUGCACAUUAGGUUUUGCAUGCAGCAGCUUUGUACUGACAUAUUACAUAUGCUUAAAGAAACUGAUACAAUUACAUUAACAGUAUUAUGUAAGCCUUCAAUCUGAAUUGACAAAAAGAUACCAGUAUUGCUCUGAAAUUACCACAGGUUAAUUCCCAACUUUUCCAUGUGUUGUGGACUGCUUGAUUAUGUGGUGCACAUUAUAUUUGAAAUGAUUAAGCAAAUGUGUAGCUGCUUCAUAUUCCAUAAUGACAAGUGCUUCACUUAACUGAAUCCUUAAUGUGUGAAGUUGCUUGGUAAACAUAGGUAGGUUCUAUAAUGAGAAACUACAACUGGAAAUAUUAUAAGAGAAGCAGGUGGUGUUAAAUUAAGUACUGGAAUUCACUUAAGAACAAAAUACAUGGGAACCUGUGUAGCAGUCUUGGAAGUGAUCAUGAGAGUGGAGACAGAGAGAGGGGCUCCAGAGGUUGUCUGGCAGCGUGUGUGAACAUACUGUGCUCAUAUACAGAAACCAAGGCUGACCAUGACUGACAGCAGAGGACAAGGUGAGAGGAGAUUUUACACUGGCCAUGC
Molecule: long non-coding RNA, 1582 nt
Filed under: Pogona vitticeps (central bearded dragon)
Lineage: Eukaryota; Metazoa; Chordata; Lepidosauria; Squamata; Agamidae
Description: lncRNA (ENSPVIG00000000681.1)
Source: RNAcentral